Molecule: long non-coding RNA, 1491 nt
Filed under: Homo sapiens (human)
Lineage: Eukaryota; Metazoa; Chordata; Mammalia; Primates; Hominidae
Description: non-protein coding lnc-BCAS1-5:2
Source: RNAcentral
AGUUAAGUCUGGCUUGAGCAUUAUUUUCAAGCUAAAAUACAAACAAGAGAGCAAUAACGAUCUUUGCGUGGAUAAUAGCUAAACCUGAAUAGAAGCUUCCAGGGCCCUAAUACACAGCCAAGGAAAGCUAACAGUCAUGAUUCAAUAAAGGUGCCUUGUAAGGCAUGUGCCAGACAGAAAGGAGACACCAUAUCUGUGUAAUCUACAGACACUGCUUUAAACAUCACAUAAUUAAGUCCUUCCCAUGGUGGUGGCUACUUGAAGCUUUAUCAUUAGCUUGUAAGAUUUCAUCUCUGGGUUUCACCGAUGGUUCUGAGAAUGAACAUUUUCAAACCAGAGGCACCUGCUAAUCCAGGAGACAUACUCACCACGCCUAUUCUCGUCCUCCAGUGAAAGAAGCUCUAUGUUAAAUGACUGAAGGGAAACAGAAGGGAAUAUGUAACAAAAUAUAUACAGGAGCAGCCCCGGGGUGGCUUUCCAUGCUGAGUGUUCUAUUACAUUAAUCCUGGCACACAAAAAAUGCGACAGCCACAUGGAUAUCAAUAUGCCUGCAUUGUUUGUCUUCCAUCGGCCCUCUCUGUACACAGGCAUGCAUUUCCCUCGAGCAAUGAUCAGGCUGAGAAAGUGAUUUCAUUUACAUUGCAAAGGAGACAGAAAAACAAACAGAAAACCCAGAGGCCACGACUUCCCGGGAGUGCUCCAGAGUGUGUGUAUUGCUAGUAGAAGCUAUGUGCACCUCCACACCCCGGAACUAUUUUUGAAGCUUUGAUGUAGAAACGCACAAUACCUACAGCGACCUUAAAUUUCUGUAAAACAAAUAUAGCAUGCAUUGAUGCAAUUGCCAUAUAUUUAUAGAAUUCAACAAUUGCCUUCCACCAACUUUAUCAAAUAUCUGCUGCAUGGGGGCGGUGCUAGGACAGAAACAUAAACAGCUCUGAUUGGUCCAUUAUGCAGACGAAGCACAUGCUUCAAGGACCAGAAAAGCAGAGAGAACACCGUGCUCCUGCCUUACUGGCCAAAUGAUGCAACAAGAAAAUUCAGGAAAGUUAAUUUAAGUUUCAACAUACAGAUUUUUUUGUCCCUUGGAAGACACAGUUUUAAGUUUUAGUUGAGUUUUGUUUUCAUUUUUAUUUGGGUACAGGUCUUGGGAUAGUUCGGAUUUGUGUUCAGAAAAUUUUUACUCCUCCACACUUUGGAGGAAUACCCUUCCCUGACUUAGGGAUGUUGGACUUGGCCAUGUGACUAUUGGCCAGUAAGAUGUUAGCAAGCAUGAUGCCAUCAAGGUCACUGUGGAUUUGCACAGUGGGCCUGGCUCUCCUGCACUUCCAACAUUGCCUUGAGAUGCAUACACAUGCCUGCGUCCAAGGAAGAUGGAAGACACCUGGAGCAAACUUGGACUCAGCCCAUAACUUGAAGCCCAGCCCGGACCACCCCAGGUCAUCUAAACCCCAGCUAAUUUGCAAAUGUUUAUGUGAGAAUAAAUAAUUACCA